This 466-nucleotide ribosomal RNA is filed under the name uncultured bacterium. RNAcentral's name for it is "bacterial SSU rRNA". It matches the Rfam family "Bacterial small subunit ribosomal RNA", at positions 29 to 514 of the family's 1533-position model. The record is from RNAcentral.
AACGAACGCUGGCGGCGUGCCUAACACAUGCAAGUCGAACGGUUGUAGCAAUACAAUAGUGGCGCACGGGUGAGUAAUGCAUGGGAGAUCUGCCAAGUGGAGAUGAAUAGCUACGGGAAGCUGUAGAUAAUGCAUCGUAAGCAGUGCCUUUUAGGUACUGGAAAGGCUGGGACCGCAAGGCCAGUCGCCAUUUGAUGAGCCCAUGUCCCAUUAGCUAGUUGGUAGGGUAAAGGCCUACCAAGGCGAAGAUGGGUAGCUGGUCUGAGAGGACGAUCAGCCACACUGGAACUGAGACACGGUCCAGACUCCUACGGGAGGCAGCAGUGGGGAAUAUUGGACAAUGGGGGAAACCCUGAUCCAGCAAUGCCGCGUGAGUGAUGAAGGUCUUCGGAUUGUAAAGCUCUUUUGGCAGGGACGAUGAUGACGGUACCUGCAGAAUAAGCUCCGGCUAACUUCGUGCCAGCAG